CCUACGGGAGGCAGCAGUGAGGAAUAUUGGUCAAUGGGCGCGAGCCUGAACCAGCCAAGUCGCGUGAGGGAAGACGGUCCUAUGGAUUGUAAACCUCUUUUGUCGGGGAGCAAAAGACGCCACGCGUGGCGUUCCGAGAGUACCCGAAGAAAAAGCAUCGGCUAACUCCGUGCCAGCAGCCGCGGUAAUACGGAGGAUGCGAGCGUUAUCCGGAUUUGUUGGGUUAAAGGGGUGCGCAGGCGGAAGAUCAAGUCAGCGGUAAAAUUGAGAGGCUCAACCUCGUCGAGCCGUUGAAACUGGUUUUCUUGAGUGAGCGAGAGGUAUGCGGAAUGCGUGGUGUAGCGGUGAAAUGCAUAGAUAUCACGCAGAACUCCGAUUGCGAAGGCAGCAUACCGGCGCUCAACUGACGCUCAUGCACGAAAGUGUGGGUAUCGAACAGGAUUAGAUACCCGGGUAGUC
RNAcentral lists this ribosomal RNA (459 nucleotides) under uncultured bacterium. RNAcentral describes it as "partial 16S ribosomal RNA". It matches the Rfam family "Bacterial small subunit ribosomal RNA", at positions 338 to 795 of the family's 1533-position model. The record is from RNAcentral.